This 497-nucleotide ribosomal RNA is filed under the name uncultured bacterium. RNAcentral describes it as "partial 16S ribosomal RNA". It matches the Rfam family "Bacterial small subunit ribosomal RNA", at positions 28 to 507 of the family's 1533-position model. The record is from RNAcentral.
GAUGAACGCUGGCGGCGUGCCUAAUACAUGCAAGUCGAGCGAACGGACGAGAAGCUUGCUUCUCUGAUGUUAGCGGCGGACGGGUGAGUAACACGUGGAUAACCUACCUAUAAGACUGGGAUAACUUCGGGAAACCGGAGCUAAUACCGGAUAAUAUUUUGAACCGCAUGGUUCAAAAGUGAAAGACGGUCUUGCUGUCACUUAUAGAUGGAUCCGCGCUGCAUUAGCUAGUUGGUAAGGUAACGGCUUACCAAGGCAACGAUGCAUAGCCGACCUGAGAGGGUGAUCGGCCACACUGGAGCUGAGACACGGUCCAGACUCCUACGGGAGGCAGCAGUAGGGAAUCUUCCGCAAUGGGCGAAAGCCUGACGGAGCAACGCCGCGUGAGUGAUGAAGGUCUUCGGAUCGUAAAACUCUGUUAUUAGGGAAGAACAUAUGCGUAAGUAACUGUGCACAUCUUGACGGUACCUAAUCAGAAAGCCACGGCUAACUACGUG